This 468-nucleotide ribosomal RNA is filed under the name uncultured bacterium. Its description in RNAcentral is "partial 16S ribosomal RNA". It matches the Rfam family "Bacterial small subunit ribosomal RNA", at positions 28 to 507 of the family's 1533-position model. The record is from RNAcentral.
GACGAACGCUGGCGGCGUGCUUAACACAUGCAAGUCGAACGGAAAGGCCCUGCUUUUGUUGGGUGCUCGAGUGGCGAACGGGUGAGUAACACGUGAGUAACCUGCCCUUGACUUUGGGAUAACUUCAGGAAACUCGGGCUAAUACCGGAUAGGAGCUCCUGCUGCAUGGUGGGGGUUGGAAAGUUUCGGCGGUUGGGGAUGGACUCGCGGCUUAUCAGCUUGUUGGUGGGGUAGUGGCUUACCAAGGCGUUGACGGGUAGCCGGCCUGAGAGGGGGACCGGCCACAUGGGGACUGAGAUACGGCCCAGACUCCUACGGGAGGCAGCAGUGGGGAAUAUUGCACAAUGGGCGGAAGCCGGAUGCAGCAACGCCGCGUGCGGGAUGACGGCCUUCGGGUUGUAAACCGCUUUCGCCUGUGACGAAGCGUGAGUGACGGUAAUGGGUAAAGAAGCACCGGCUAACUACGUG